GUUGUUAGCCUGGCUCUCCGCCAACUAAGGGACAGUGGUGUUGGUACAACGAGAUGAAGCUCUCUUAGGUGGCAUGAUUUUGCUACUCUCGACCUACGCUCCUCCGAAUGGAGAUGCCCUUCCUCUUGCACUAAUCUGUUGGUGUAAGGUUCUGUUGGACGUCGGGAUGCUAGAGCAGAUGGCGAGAUUGGGUCUCCUAAGGGGUGACCUGU
RNAcentral lists this long non-coding RNA (212 nucleotides) under Elaeis guineensis (African oil palm). RNAcentral describes it as "long non-coding RNA (EGUI_LNC020959)". Lineage: Eukaryota; Viridiplantae; Streptophyta; Magnoliopsida; Arecales; Arecaceae. The record is from RNAcentral.